UACGGAGGGGACUAGCGUUGUUCGGAAUUACUGGGCGUAAAGCGCGCGUAGGCGGUUUUGUUAGUCAGGUGUGAAAUCCCGAGGCUCAACCUCGGAACUGCCUUUGAUACUGCAAAUCUCGAGUCCGGAAGAGGUGAGUGGAAUUCCUAGUGUAGAGGUGAAAUUCGUAGAUAUUAGGAAGAACACCAGUGGCGAAGGCGGCUCGCUGGUCCGGUACUGACGCUGAGGUGCGAAAGCGUGGGGAGCAAACAGG
Molecule: ribosomal RNA, 253 nt
Filed under: uncultured bacterium
Lineage: Bacteria
Description: partial 16S ribosomal RNA
Rfam family: Bacterial small subunit ribosomal RNA
Source: RNAcentral